AGAGUUUGAUCCUGGCUCAGGAUGAACGCUGGCGGCGUGCCUAACACAUGCAAGUCGAGCGAGAAAUCUUGGACUGAAACUUCGGUCGAAGGAAGAGAUGGAAAGCGGCGGACGGGUGAGUAACGCGUAGACAACCUGCCCUUUGCAGAGGGAUAGCCAUUGGAAACGAUGAUUAAAACCUCAUAACACCGCACCUUCACAUGGAGGAGCGGCCAAAGAUUUAUCGGCAAAGGAUGGG
This 238-nucleotide ribosomal RNA is filed under the name uncultured bacterium. Its description in RNAcentral is "partial 16S ribosomal RNA". It matches the Rfam family "Bacterial small subunit ribosomal RNA", at positions 8 to 229 of the family's 1533-position model. The record is from RNAcentral.